UCUUGGUCAUUUAGAGGAAGUAAAAGUCGUAACAAGGUUUCCGUAGGUGAACCUGCGGAAGGAUCAUUAAAGAAAUUUAAUAAUUUUGAAAAUGGAUUUUUUUUUUUUGUUUUGGCAAGAGCAUGAGAGCUUUUACUGGGCAAGAAGACAAGAGAUGGAGAGUCCAGCCGGGCCUGCGCUUAAGUGCGCGGUCUUGCUAGGCUUGUAAGUUUCUUUCUUGCUAUUCCAAACGGUGAGAGAUUUCUGUGCUUUUGUUAUAGGACAAUUAAAACCGUUUCAAUACAACACACUGUGGAGUUUUCAUAUCUUUGCAACUUUUUCUUUGGGCAUUCGAGCAAUCGGGGCCCAGAGGUUAACAAACACAAACAAUUUUAUCUAUUCAUUAAAUUUUUGUCAAAAACAAGAAUUUUCGUAACUGGAAAUUUUAAAAUAUUAAAAACUUUCAACAACGGAUCUCUUGGUUCUCGCAUCGAUGAAGAACGCAGCGAAAUGCGAUACGUAAUGUGAAUUGCAGAAUUCCGUGAAUCAUCGAAUCUUUGAACGCACAUUGCGCCCCUUGGUAUUCCAGGGGGCAUGCCUGUUUGAGCGUCAUUUCCUUCUCAAACAUUCUGUUUGGUAGUGAGUGAUACUCUUUGGAGUUAACUUGAAAUUGCUGGCCUUUUCAUUGGAUGUUUUUUUUCCAAAGAGAGGUUUCUCUGCGUGCUUGAGGUAUAAUGCAAGUACGGUCGUUUUAGGUUUUACCAACUGCGGCUAAUCUUUUUUUAUACUGAGCGUAUUGGAACGUUAUCGAUAAGAAGAGAGCGUCUAGGCGAACAAUGUUCUUAAAGUUUGACCUCGAAUCAGGUAGGAGUACCCGCUGAACUUAAGCAUAUCAAUAAGCGGAG
RNAcentral lists this ribosomal RNA (884 nucleotides) under uncultured fungus. RNAcentral describes it as "eukaryotic LSU rRNA". The stretch from base 438 to 591 matches the Rfam family "5.8S ribosomal RNA". Lineage: Eukaryota; Fungi. The record is from RNAcentral.